Molecule: ribosomal RNA, 403 nt
Filed under: uncultured bacterium
Lineage: Bacteria
Description: bacterial SSU rRNA
Rfam family: Bacterial small subunit ribosomal RNA
Source: RNAcentral
AGCGAACGCUGGCGGCGUACUUAACACAUGCAAGUCGAACGAGGAUCAUCGGGUUAGCAAUAAUUCGGUGGUUCUAGUGGCGUACGGGUGAGUAACACGUGGGUAACCUGCCCUUGAGUCCGGGAUACCCUCUCGAAAGGGAGGCUAAUACUGGAUACGUUCCCCGGGGCGCAAGACCUGGGGAGGAAAGGUGGCGCAAGCUACCGCCCUUGGAGGGGCUCGCGGCCUAUCAGCUAGUUGGUGAGGUAACGGCUCACCAAGGCUAUGACGGGUAGCUGGUCUGAGAGGACGACCAGCCACACGGGAACUGAGACACGGUCCCGACUCCUACGGGAGGCAGCAGUGGGGAAUUUUCCGCAAUGGGCAAAGCCUGACGGAGUGACGCCGCGUGGGGACGAAGGCC